AACGAACGCUGGCGGCAUGCCUAACACAUGCAAGUCGAACGAGACCUUCGGGUCUAGUGGCGCACGGGUGCGUAACGCGUGGGAACCUGCCCUUAGGUUCGGAAUCACUCCCCGAAAGGGGUGCUAAUACCGGCUAAUGUCUUCGGACCAAAGAUUUAUCGCCUUUGGAUGGGCCCGCGUUGGAUUAGCUAGUUGGUAGGGUAAAAGCCUACCAAGGCGACGAUCCAUAGCUGGUCUGAGAGGAUGAUCAGCCACACUGGGACUGAGACACGGCCCAGACUCCUACGGGAGGCAGCAGUGGGGAAUAUUGGACAAUGGGCGAAAGCCUGAGCCAGCAAUGCCGCGUGAGUGAUGAAGGCCUUAGGGUUGUAAAGCUCUUUUACCCGGGAUGAUAAUGACAGUACCGGGAGAAUAAGCACCGGCUAACUCCGUG
RNAcentral lists this ribosomal RNA (433 nucleotides) under uncultured bacterium. RNAcentral's name for it is "partial 16S ribosomal RNA". It matches the Rfam family "Bacterial small subunit ribosomal RNA", at positions 29 to 507 of the family's 1533-position model. The record is from RNAcentral.